RNAcentral lists this long non-coding RNA (11740 nucleotides) under Sorghum bicolor (sorghum). RNAcentral's name for it is "long non-coding RNA (SBIC_LNC008541)". Lineage: Eukaryota; Viridiplantae; Streptophyta; Magnoliopsida; Poales; Poaceae. The record is from RNAcentral.
GGUCACUCUUUUGUGGUAAUUCUACAUCCUUACCUAGGCAGUGAUGAUAUAUGCGUUCUCUCAAAGUAUGUGGUAUUUGUGGUAUGAGGCAUAAUGAUAUUGCCUUCUCUCUCACCCUACUCUAACAAGGUUUUGAUAUCUGGAGCUCAUAGGUGGGAGACAGUUAAUACAUACUUACAAGACAUUUAUUGCAUAGUCAAACCAUGGAUCCAGAGAAACAAGUGAAUAAGUCAAAUCAAGAUGUGCAUGUGUGGUGGAUGAAUGGUGUAUAGUGAUGAUGGUGAUAAUGGUGAAAAUAAUGGUGAAAGUCUAAUUCUACUUUUGCUCUUUUGAGGGAAUACAUACCUUUCUUGCACUUUGAAGGUUUUUGAGAGGAAUGAAAUGCUCUAUAUUUUCCUUUUCUUUUCUCUCAGGUAUCUUGUACCCCUAAUUCUACUGUCGGACACUUGUCCAUUUUUACCUCUCGUCUCACUUUUUCUUUUCUUUCGAGGUUCCGGGCACUUGCCCCUUUUUAUUUCCUCGUAUUCACUUUUCUUUUUUUUUCAGAGCACUCACCCUCCUAGAAUAAUGUACCAAGUGGUGGUAACCAAAAUAUCAAGAGCAUUUAUUUCACCGGGAAUAACAGGAAUAGGAUAAUGUUUUUUGGCUAUUCUCUCCUGGAUAGGAGUAGAUUAAUUUUGGGUAAAUCUAGAGAUGGAAAUGAGUGGAUGUGUACUUCCGGAGUAGAAGCAGCAUGUAUGAGUGAAUGUGUAAGUGGAUCUUGAUUUUAACCGCAUGACAAGCUCCUAAGGGUUUACACAGCUUGACCACACUCAAUGCUCAUAAGCAGUAAAAGUAAAUGUAUGGUUCAUAGUCUAAUAUGCAUUAUAUAUGGCUAUGGUAGGAGUUUAAACUCUCAUCAUACAGGAACUCAUCAUGCAACAUUUUAAAUAUUUUCAAAGAUAAAAUUCUCUAGAUUUCUAGCAUCUCUAGAAACAGAUAAAUAGCUGGUCAACCUUCCCAUAUCGUAUCCGUUAACGACUUAGACUUUAGAUCAAGUACUCUUCCCACAUGUUCAGUUUAAGAGCAAAUCUUAAUUCAUAACAGUCAUGCCUAAACUUGAGAGAGAUUUCAAUUUUGAGAACUUGGCAGAGCAACUAUUCAUCAUUUUCAUGUGAGAGCUUAUCAUGAGGGUUCAUAGCAAAAUUUAUUUAUUUAGCAACCUAAGCAAAGAUAUUUAUAUAAGCACAAAAUCUUUAUUUAGGUUUUUAUGAUUAUGCAUCUUUUUAUUAUUUGAGUAAAGUAUAAACAUGAGUAGAAACACUUAGCUGGAUAGCUGGAUUUUGACGUAAUUUCUUCUGAUGUAGCUAGCAGGUGGCGGAGGUGUAUUUGAAUGUCGGCAGCACCAUGACAGCGAUUAGAAUGUCCUCCGUCUGCUAGUCUUCUUUGAUCCUUGAAUUCUGUGGAGCUCAAAUAGACAACAAAGCUUUGUGGAACUGGUUAAGUGUUAGCAUAAAUAUCUCUAAGCCAUUAUCAUGUUGAGCUUCCUCUAAUAAAUAUUACUCUCUUUGGUAGGAUCAUAAAUUUAUUUUUAUAUUUUCAUUUCUAUAGAAUAGGAAUAUAUUUAUUUUAUUUUUACGCCACCACAGUGAAUGUACUUAUGUGUUUUAUGCCACGAGCAUACUCACAUGGAGCUUACUAUUUUUAUGAUGCAGUGGAAUGAACAAGUAUUUUUUGUUUUCUUUUCUAAUGCAAAUGUGGAAAAGUAAAUAUGCUAAUACAAGUGAUGAAACAAAAAAUGGAAAAAGAAUGUAGAAAAGAUAAAUAUGGAUAAAUACUGAUUUUACCUUUCGGCGAGGGUUCAAUGUUUUAAGUCUUCUGAACAAGACUUAUCACCGUGUUCAUUCUUUAGGUGCGUCAGUUGAUUCAGGUGUGGACCUUGACGUCUGCUCCUCUUGAUACAGUGUCACCCAUGUUCUUCAUUUGCAUAGAAUUUCAAAGUGUGGCGUUGGCAGUAUCUUGCUCAGUGUGUUUGUGCUCGUAGAUCCAGGUCCUUUACUUGGUGGAGUCUGGAAGUUUUAAAACUCCUCCAUGUUUUGCUCGAAGUGUACCUGCUCAUAGAGACAAGGCAGAGAUCAAGUGCAUGGGCCCUGUUGGUGAAAAACACCAACAGAACCAAAAGUGUAUUUGUUCUUCUCUAACAUUUAGCAUAGGGAGCAAGACAAAGUUGAUGGGUGAUAAGAUCAUGAGUGUAGUAUUUAAAACAUUUGUCAGAUCAGAUCGCUCAACCUUGUGGAAAGAUAAUCUAUCUAUGUAUAUGUCUUUUUCUUUAUAUCUCUCAAAUAUUGAAUGUGCAAUAUUUUAGCUCAUAUGAUUAGGAGUGUGGGAUCGCAAAAGUGGAAGGACUAAACAUGUUGAAUCGAUUGGGUCGGUUAACCUAGAGUUGUAAAUCAUACAUGUUUGUCUCUUUAUUUAUGUGAAAGCUAGAACCAAGGAGAAGCUUAUAAAAAUGAUAGUCACAUAUCUUAAGAUGUUACCUUAAUUGAAGAGUGAUGGUACAGUAUCACCUUGUGGAAGCUUUCCUUUCUUAGUGGUUGUGCAUCGUGUUUGUGGCACCCUCCAUGGAUCAUCUCUUAUGAGCUACGUCUUCCUUGUGUAAAUUGUUAAACUUUAUGUGUCUCUCUCCUUGUCUCCAAUGUGAGUUUAUCUCAGGACUUCCCAGGUUGAUAGUGAAAGUUUUCCUAUAGGGGUUAGUCCGACAAAAUAUACCAAUAUCUACUCAAGCAGUUUUUAGUUCAGUAACCAAACUAGACUCCAUGUCUAAUCAGAUUAAGGAAGGCUAUUUAACCUAAGCACCAUGCUUAAUUUAAAUCCCAAUGGAAGUAUGGUGAGUUCUUCCAAACCAACACUAUCUAGUAAAUAGACAAAGGUAGCAUGACAACAUUUAUAGAGAUCUACUUAAGUGGAGAUGAAGUAGUGUGAUUAGUAUUUAACAAUUUGAGCAUGUCUCAAAGGUAGGGACAACCAACAUAGCAACAUGUCAAAAGAUGUUUUUAUGUAUAGUACUCCCCCAAGCUUGAAUUUUGCAAAAUUCAAGUUUGGAUGAAUUUAAUUCAAUGUUGUAUGAUGAUUGGUUGGACAUACCUUGUGCUUGUCAUUCAUCCGAUCUUCUUGCUCCAAUCCUGGAAAGGUUAGUGACAAGAAUACCCGAAGGAAUAUUUUUACAAUUAUCCUUAUAUGCUCAGUACACAAGGUAAUGUUGUAAAUAAUUAGAAGCUCAUUUUACGAUCUGAUCAAUGCUUAUUUUAGGACACUAAGCUUGUCCUUGGAAAACCAUCAAUUUAUGUCGGCGAAGUGGUUUCCCUUCCAACGCUGACCUAUAUCGAGAUCAACUCAAUGAGAUCUGCAAUAUUUAUUAUAGACAUAUGCAUCGACAACCGCCCUUUUAAAGUUUUUGUAAAUAGAAAGGAAGAGGGUGUUGGAAAUCUCAAAUGUGGUGAUGUUGGAGAGACCAAUAGAUUGGGAAGAUGUUGCAUAUGAGCAUGGUGUAAAUGAGGUGGCUAUGAAAUAAAUUCCAUGCUUAUUAAUGUUAUCUUCAUCUCCAAUCUGAAUGUUCGGAAUUUCUCCUAGAUUGGUCUCACCUAUGUCCUCUUCUAUAGUUGGACGAAUCUCAUCUUGAAAGGGAGUCAAGAACUCACCAUUUGAAAUUGAGCCAAAGUCAGAAUCCAUUAAGGCUUCUUCCUUAUACAUCCAUUCUACACAUUCUAGCCAUUUAGAACUUGUGAUUAGGAAAGGGGAGGUGUUAGAAUUUUCUAUAUGGCUUAGUUCUCCUUCACUUGAUAUGUCAUCCUCGACUUCUUCAUAACAGGAACCAGGACAAUCUCUAAGAGAACCAUUAUUGCAAGGAUUUGAAUUAUCCCUACUUGAAGGUCUCUUAUGGAACCAGAAGUCUAAACCAUCAGUAUCUGAAAGAUUUAAGGUCAGAAUUCCUUCCUCCCUUGGAGAAUUUUGGGGUAUUGUUAGUUUAGGAUCGAUGGCUAAAGUUUGGGAUUGAAGUGGUUGUGAUCUGGCUAUCGAAACUUCUUCUUCUUGACUAGGAAUUGGUUCUUUCUCUUUCUCAGGGAUAUAAAAGCUAGGAGACUUUCCGCUCAUUAAAUCAAUCAAAUUCCAAGCUUCACUAGCAGGUAGGUGAUAGACGGAUCCUCUAGAUGCUGUAUUCAAGGUUUGCUUAUUUUCCCCACUAAGGCCCUCAAAAAAGUGAAUUAAAAGAACUUCUUCUGGAAUAGAAAGCUUGGGCCAGUGAGAGUAAGGUUAAUAAAGCGGUCCCAUGAUUUCCUAAGAGAUUCUUCUUCCAGUUGUCUAAAAGAAAUAAUCUCACGCCGAAGUUCCGCCACUUUGGAGAUUGGAAAAUAUUUAAAAAGAAAACUAUUAUAUAACUCCUUCCAAUCUCCAUCAAUACUCCCUACUUUGUGUUUAUACCAAUGCCUAGCUUUUCCCGUUAAAGAGAACGGAAAGAGCUUCCAUUUAAGGGUCUCAUCGGACAUGUCUUCAAUGCGAAGGAGGUCACAGACAUGACAAAACUCUUUUAGGUGUGUGUAUGGGUUUUCCUCACCUUCUCCUGAGAAAGGUUGUUUUUGAACAAAUUCUAUGUAUUCGGGGUCUAUCUCAAAACUAGAUGCUAUGAUAGGCUUUGAAGAUUUUGGUGGUUCGAGAUGUGUGCCCGUAGGUCUAUGAAAUUCAUAGAUAGACAUGUUUGAAUUCAUGAUAGACCAGAGAUCAAGGAUUAGAUAAGAAGAAAGAAUAGCAGAGAUAAGGCAAAGGAUAAAAGGAAAAUAUUUUAUUUUUAUUUUUUUAGAAAAUGAUUAAGCUAGUUCGUAGUCAAUUAAGCAAACGUUUCCCCGGCAACGGUGCCAAAAAUGCUUGUUGACACUUGCUAACACCACUUGAAUACUAGGUUGUCAUCCCCAGCAUGGCACUAGAGUGUACUAUGGUAUUUAUACGCACACAGAUAAAUCCGCAAGCGCACGGAUACCGUUAUAGCUUUUACCCGGUUAAAGAUUUUAUCGUAUCCACAGGGAAACGGGAGAACCAACUACGCUCUAACUUAACCAAGAUAAAUAGAUAGGUGUAAAUAGAAAAGAUGGUAGAAUUGAACAAGAACAAUAUUAAAGGUAAGAUAACAAUAGGUGAUAAUAUGGGAAUAGAGAGUAGAGCAAUCUAGUAUAUGGGCGAUGGUAGCAGAAUAGAGAGGAUAACUAUGGUUUCUCUACUUCAAAGGGGUAUGUCUAUGUCUGGGACGAACCACGUGAUAAGAAUACACCACAAAGAAUUCUUAUCCAUAGGCCGAUAAACCCUACCUGUCCUGCUAACAAGAGGUGGACUACAGGGGACCAACAUAACUUUCACCUACGUGGCCUACCACACAAUCUAGCUAGACAGGGGAUAUCCACAAGUAAUCUAGGUCUAAGCACCACGCUUACACCUAUACUACAACUCUCACCUAUAGCGUCCUAUAGAUUAGAAGUACUCAAAAGAGUUGUGAACUAGAACAUACAUGAUUAGUAAUUGCAUAAUGAAUUAGAAUUAGAUUACCAGAGUCAUCCCAUGAGCAAGCUUGAUUAGAGCUCGAUCAUGACGAAGUACAACCGGAGGAAGAACCGAUAGGCCGGCCUCUCCUCCAAUCCUCCCUCGCUCUCCAUCUCGCUACUAUAUAGAUCUACUCUAGUUUAGAGAAGAGAGGAGAGCUCGCAUCUCUAAACCCUAGCUUUUGCUCUGUCUAUGAAUAAUGAAUAAUGAUCAAGGGGUGCCUCCUCCAGGGGCGAGGGGGUCUGGUUAUAUAGUCCCCUCAAGUGAAUCUGGGCCGUCGGAUCAUACCGACAUUAAUUGAACGGUUAUUCUUGAUCCUUUAGGUCGGUGGAGCAUAAUCCGCGAGAUUGAGCGUGAUUGGUUGAAACUCCAGGGUGGGCGCCCAAGGGGGGAGGGCGGGCGCCCUGCCCCCGGGCCCGUUCGGCCUCCCAUUCGUUCCCGUGGCUUCUGGAGUCUUCUAGGUGAUAGAAAAUUGUGCGGCAUGUUAAUAUCUCUAUGUAAACCCGACGUGUGGGCCUUUCCUCCAUAUUUGCUGAUAACCCCCUGCAGAAAUAGACAAACACCAAAACUCGUGUAAUUCUGUCAGAUAAAAGCCUAAGUUUGGGUGUUGGUUGCAUUUGGAUCCUUUUCUUUAUUUAUUUGUUGAUUAUAUUUGGUACUUAAGCACCGUCAACAGCAUGUAGUGUUGAUUGCCUCAGCCCACAUCUUCUCUAAAGUGUUGUACUCAUCUAGCAUUGUUCUUGCCAAGGUGAUCAAUGUCCGGUUCUUUCUUUCUACAACCCCAUUUUGUUGUGGUGUGUAUGUUGAGGAGAACUCAUGUUUGAUUCCCACUUCAUCACAAUACUCCUCAAUGUUGGUGUUCUCAAAUUCUUUGCCAUUGUCACUUCUAAUUUUCUUGAUCUGGAUAUCAAAUUGAUUUUGGUCAUUAUUUGCAAACUUCUGGAAUAUUGAUGCAACUUCGGCUUUGUCUUGCAAGAAGAAUGUCCAAGUGUACUGGGAGAAAUCAUCAACUACGACCAAGCAAUAUUUGUUGCCUCUAAGACUAGCAUAUGUGGUUGGUCCAAAUAAAUCUAUGUGGAGUAGCUCAAGCACUCUUGAAGUAGAGAGAUAGGCCUUGGUUGGAUGAGUGUUUGCAACUUGCUUGCCCGCUUGACAUGCACUACAAAGCUUUUCAUUUCAAAAGUCACAUCCUUCAAGCCUCUAAUCAAUUCUUUCUUCAUCAACUCCUUGAGUGUGCCCAUUCCAACAUGUGAUAACCUUCUAUGCCACAACCAACCAAGUGAGGUCUUGGUGAAUAAGCAAGUCUUGACAUCAACUUCAUCGGAUGAGAAAUCAACUACAUAUAAGUGUUGUGUCGGAAGCCUUUGAAUACCAUUUCAUUAUCAUCCUCCUUGGUCACAAAUACUUCCUUCUUCUUGAAUAAGCAUUCAAAACCAAGAUCACAAAGUUGUCCAACCGACAACAAGUUGAAACUCAAUGAUUGCACAUAGAGCACAAUGGUGAUGGAGUUGUCAUUUGAUAUGGCAACCUUUCCUAGUCCCUUGACCUUGCCUUUUGAAUUGUCACCAAAUGUAAUAUUCUCUUGGUUGUCAACAUCUUCAUCAAGAGAGGUGAACAUUCGGGAAUCUCCGGUCAUAUGUUGAGUGCAACCACUAUCAAUUACCCAAUGUGAUCGACCGGUCUUGUAGUUCACCUAGACACAAGAGAUCAAGCUUGAGAUUUAGGGACCCACAUUUGCUUAGGGCCCUUGACCUUCUCUACUAGUUGCUUUGGCACCCAAAUCUUCUUUGGCCUUUGCUUGUUGGGUGGCCCCAUGAAGCUAACCUUGACCUUGCCACUCUUGUCUUUCCUUACAAUGUAGUGAGCAUUGAAGGCAAAUGGUCUAGCAUGCUUGGGCAAGGGUGGUGGUAGUGGUGCCUUACACUCAUGAGCAAAGUGUCCUUCUUGACCACAUUCAAAGCAUCUCUUUGGCUUUGGCUUGCUUGGUUGAUCAUGAGUGGCUAGUGACUUGAUGAGCUUUGUUUGAUGAGCCUUGUAGCCAAUUCCACUCUUGUCCAUCUUCAUGACGGUGUUCAUGAAAAGCUCACUUUGAAGGUCCUUCCCUUUUGUGAACUUUGCUAACCCUGUGGUUAGAUGUUCCUUCUCUUUCUUGAGCUUGCUAUUCUCUUGAGAUCGCUUCUUGAUGAUUGGGUCAUUAUUGCUUGCUAACUCAUCUAAGAUGAAUGUCUCAUCUUCUUCUUGCUUGUCAUACAUCAAACCAAGCUUGAGAUAUUGAUUUUCUUCCUUGAGCAACUUGUUCUCAUAUGCAAGCUUCUUGGCUUGAUUAAGUGACUCAAUCACAAUGGUCUUGUGCUUGGCUUGCUCUUGCAACUCUUUCUUGAGCAUGACAAUUUCUUCCUUGAGCUUGAUAGUGUCCUCAUAGCUCUCGGCCACUACCACUUUCUUGCCCUUGCAUUCAACACAUUUGCUUGUGCUCUCCACAAGUAAGUCAUCACAAGUUGUGGCUACAUCAAGCUUAGUAACAUGGUUAGUAGCAACAUGUGUUUCAUCAAUUGCAAGUUCAUAAGCUAUCUCAAGGUUGCCAUAAUUUGCUUUUAGAGUUGUUAAUUAUUCUUUCAUUGCUCUAUAUCUAGUGAUAAGAUCAUCAUGAACACUCUCAAGUUUAUCAUGUUUUUCUUUGAGCUCUUUUAAAGAGAGUUUGAGCUCCUUGAGCUUAGUGGUCAUGAUCUCAUUUUGAUCUCUAAGCUCAUCACUAGACUUAAGCUUUUCUAGAAGUGUUUCAUUUUCAAGUUCAAGCUUUUCAUUUUCACUUCUAGAUUUUCUUAUGACUUUUGUAUAUUUGUUUAGAAAUUUUACAAGUUCAUCAUAAGAAGGUGAUUCGUAUUCACUAUCACUCUCACUACUCUCAUCCUCACUUUGUACCUUCCGGACACCUUUAGCCCUGAGCCAUAUGUGUGUAGAGGAUGUGGAUGGUGGUGAAGAUGAUGGUGAUGAAGCAUCAAUUGCAAUGGCGGCAACCUUCUCAUCAUCACUCUCAUUGCCGGAGGAGUCACCACUUGAGCUCUCAAUGUCGGUGAGCCAAUCACCAACAAUGUAAGCCUUGCCAUUCUUAUUCUUAUAGUGCUUUUCUUCUUCUUGCCACCUUUCUUCUUGUAUGGCUUCUUGUCAUUCUUCUCAUCAUCACUUGAAUCAUCUUGCUCUUUCUUCUGCUUCUUGUACUUAUAUAGUUGCAGCAAAAGUAUAAUGUUGAGGAAGAUCUGACAGAUCCUCCUCCUCCGCUCUCCUCUUCUCUCUCCCUAUUUUCUAGAUUACAACUAGAACUAACUAGAACUAGAACUAGAUGAACUAGAACUAGAUGAACAAGAACUAAAACUAGAUGAACUAGAGGGAUCCUCUCUACUUGGAUGAAGAAUUGAAACCCUAGCUUUGAUUCUGUAGAAGAGGUAUGAUCUCCAGGGGCCAGGGGGCUUGCUUAUAUAGUCUUUUCAGAUGAAUCUGGGCAUCGGAUCAAACCGACAUUAAUCACAUGGUUUUCCUUGAUCCUUUAGGUCGGUGGAGCGUGAUCCGUGAAAUGGGUCCGAAUUGGACACUGAAGGUGGGGGGGCGCCCAAAGGAGUAGGCUGGGCGCCCUGUCCCUGAGCCCUCUCGGCUUCCCGUUCACUCCCGUGGCUUCUGGAGUUCUAAAUGAUAGAAAAUUGCACGACACGUUAAUAUCUCUAUGUAAACCCGACGUGUGGGCCUUUCUUCUAUAUUUCCUGAUAACUCCCUACAGAAAUAGACAAAUACCAAAACUCAUGGAAUUCUGUCACAUAAAACCCUAAGUCUGGUGUUGGUUGCAUUUGGAUCCUUUUCCUUGAUUAGUUGACGGUUAAAUAUGAGCAUUAAUAAGGACCGUCAACAAGCUCCCCCAAGCUUAACCUUUGCUCGUCCCUGAGCAAAGAUGGACUCAAGAGUUUCUGCAGUGGUUUCAUGCCUUAAAAAUACACAUGUGUUUAAACAAGAUCUCAUCUCUGGGUUAGAGUAAACUGUUAAUACUUAAAACUUACUCAUUUUACCUUUCACCAUGGGGCUUGCAACCGUCACUUGUGUCUUGAGCAGUUAAAAGAUAGAACGGUCAAGUCAAGCGCCAUGUCUCUUGUUCUUCGAUUAACUAUAGCUCUGGAGUUUUUGCAGAUUUUCAAAUAAAACUCAGAGAUUCCUUGUAUGACUCUCUCUAGUCUCUCUUUUGUGGUAUUUCUGGAUCCUUACCAAGGCAGUAAUGGUAUAUGCCUUCUCUCAAAGUAUGUGGUAUUUUUGGUAUAAGGCAUAGUGACAUUGCCUUCUCUCUCACCCUACUCUAAUAAGGCUUUUGAUAUCUGGAGCUCAUAGGUGGGAGACAGCUAACACAUACUUACAAGACAUUUAUUGCAUAGUCAAACCAUGGAUCCAGAAGAACAAGUCAAUAAGUCAAAUCAAGAUGUGCAUGUGUGGCGAAUGAAUGGUGUAUGGUGAUGAUGGUGAUAACAAUGGUGAACGUCUAAUUCUACUUGUGCUCUUUUGAGGGGAUACAUACCUUUCUUGCUGUUUUGAAACUUUUUGAGGAGAAUGAGAUGCUCUAUAUUUUCUUUUUUUUUCUUUUUUUUUCUUUUCUCUCAGGUUGGUAUCUUGUACCCCUAAUUCUACUGUCGGACACUUGUCCAUUUUUACCUCUCAUCUCACUUUUUCUUUUCUUUCGAGGUUCCGGGCACUUGCCCCUUUUUAUUUCCUCGUAUCUCUUUUUUUUUAGAGAGCACUCAUCUCAUGAAAUAAUACAGCAAGUGGUAGUAACAAGAUAACUUGAGCAUUUUUUUUUCACCGGGAAAAAUAGAAAUAGGAGAAUGUUUUUGGCUAUUCUCUCCCGGAUUAGGAGUAGAAUAUUUUUGGGUGGUUCUGGAGAUGGAAAUGGAUGGAUAUAUGUGGAUGGUACUUCUGGAGUAGAAGUAGCUUGUGUGAGUGAAUGUGCAAGUGAAUCUUGAUUUAACCACAUGACAAGCUCCUAACGGUCUACACAGCUUGACCACACUCAAUGCUCAUAAGUAGUAAAAAGUAAAUGUGUGGCUCAUAGUCUAGCAAGCAUGUAUAUACGGCUGUGGUAGGAAUUUAAACUCUCAUCAUACAGGAACUCAUCAUGCAACAUUUUAAAGAUUUUCAAAGAUAAAGUUCUCCAGAAUUCUAGCAUCUCUAGGAACAGAUAAAUAGCAGCUCAACCUUCCCAUAUCAUAUCCGUUAACGACUUAGACUUCAGAUCAAGUACUCUCCCCACAAGUUCAGGUUUAGAGCAAAUCUUAAUUCAUAACAGUUAUGCCUAAACUUGAGAGAGAUUUCAAUUUUAGGAACUAGUCAUGGCAAAGAAACUAUUCAUCAUUUCCAUGUGAGAGCUUAUCAUGAGGGUUCAUAACAAACUUUAUUUAUUUAUUUAUUUAGCAAGCUAAGCAAAGAUAUAUAUAUAUAAGCACAAAAUUUUUAUUUGGGUUUUCAUGAUUAUGCAUCUUUUUAUUAUUUAAGUAAAAUAUAAACAUGAGUAGAGCACUUAGCUGGAUAAAGGGGUUGCUCUCCCCCAAGCUGGAUUUUGACAUAAUUCCUUUUGAUGUAGCUAGCAGGUGGCGGAGGUGUAUUUGAAUGUCGGCAGCACUCUGACAGCGAUUAGGAUGUUGGCGACGAAAGCUGGUCGGCAGUCUACCUUGGGGUAUACCCACGGUAGUAGUUUAUCGGUAGACGGUGCACAAACUACGAACUCGAUGGUGACGCAAGACACGGACAAGCUUUUUAUCCAGGUUCGGCCGCCGAGUUGGCGUAAUACCUACGUCCUGCGUCUGGUUGUAUUGAUUUGUGUUGAGAGAAUAUGAUGUCCUAGGGGGGUCCUUUGCCUCUCCUUAUAUAGUCCGGAGGGCAUGGUUACAGAUCUGGAAACUAAUCCUAGUCGGUUACAAUUGCAAUAGACAGUUCAUUAUCAAUUCCUAUUCUAACCGACUAGAAUCCUGCUUGAUCUCCACGUCUUGUUUCCUUGCGCGAAACUCCGAGCUGUCAGAUCAAACCUUGAGCUUGUCUCGUAGUGGGCCAAGCCUCCUGGCCCAAGUCUAGCCGUAAGGGUAUAGGGGUUUAUACCCCCACAGCUAGUCCCCGAGCACCAUGUAUUGUGAUGUAACACGCCGUCUUG